Molecule: long non-coding RNA, 1524 nt
Organism: Rosa chinensis
Lineage: Eukaryota; Viridiplantae; Streptophyta; Magnoliopsida; Rosales; Rosaceae
Exons: 2
Source: RefSeq, a predicted model, not a curated record
UUGGGCUAUUUAAAGAUGAUUAUGAGGAACAUAAAGUGAAGCCUACUUCAAAACCCAGUUUUAACCUUUGGUCUAUUUAUUUUGAUUGCCAGAAGUAAAAACCACUCCGUUUCAUCAUUCCUUACCUGUCAACGUUGUUUAAAACUGGUUGUUUUAGUUCGGAGUCUGUAUGUUUUGGUGAGGUUGUUUAAUUCAUUGCUAAGCUAUUUUAGCUAUUGCAAAUGAGGCCAAGAAUACUCUGUGCUGUUUGGUGAGGUUGCAGAGAUGUGCAACUGAGCAUGAAUUUGUAAAGCAGGAGAGAACCAAAUCAUCCGUUAGAGAUUACAGAGAGCUAAGUGGAUAUUGAAGAGGAGUGAAAGUUUUGAGGACGACUUGGUGUGGUGUGGUGUGAGAUGCAUAAACUGAAGGCAGAGAGAAAGAGUUGUUUUGGUCUCAGAUAACCUGGUACACAGUGCUUACCUACCAUUUAUAAAGUUUUCAAUAGCUGAUUCGAUGGAUUAGAGUAAGGAGUGGGUUGAGUUUUCUAUAUUUUCUCGUCUAUGAUGAUUGCAAUUAGACUGAUGAUACCUUUCACAUAAGAAAUAAAUGCACAGGCAUGGCGUUUACUUUUCUCUUUUGUCUUUGAUAAUUGCAAAUAGAAUUAAAUCGAAAUUUGGAAAAGCCUGAAGAGAAUUGUUGGCGGAAAACAGAGUAAAUAACACUCCCAGAAAGAAGUAUUUAGGUAUUCAGAAACUUAUUGAUCAUCCCUCACAAUUGGGUCGUUGAUAUAUCAUGCAACAAAUUUGAAGGGAAGAUUCCUGAAUUCAUUGGGAACUUCAAAGGACUUUGCUUUCUUAAUGUUUCCAACGACAUUCUCACUGGUACCACCCCAUUAUCCUUGUGAAAGUUGACAUUAAGCAUUACACCUUUCAAAUGACAGGCUUUCCGGAGAAAUUCCUCAGCAACUAAAGCAGCUUACAUCCCUCGCAUAUGUCAACGUCUCUGACAACAAUCUCACAGGUUCCAUACCGCAAGGGCGCCAAUUUAAUACGUUCGAGAGGACUUCAUUUGAGGGAACCUGGGAUUGUGUGGAGAACCAUUGCCAAAUAAAUGUGAAAAUGCCACUGCCACCCUUAAGCAUAGAUGGAGUUGAAUUUGAAUGGAAAUUUGCAUUAGUGGGAUUUAGAAGUGGGUUAAUGCUGGGAGUGGUACUUGCGAACAUCACCAUCACUCAAAAGCGUGAGCUGUUUCUUGAGAUGGUUGGAAUUUUGAUCAGGCUAAUCAAAAGGGAGAGGUCGGGAACUCGGGAUGCAGAAAUUGAUAAGGCUGCUAUGAGGUUAUGGAUUUGAGGUUCUUUCAUUUUUUUCUUUUCUUUUUGUGUUUGUUUUGUUUCGUUGUUGCUUUCUUUCUCCUUCAGCCUUUCUAUCUAUAUGGUUUGUUGAUCGUGUAUGAGCAACAACCAGAGUGAUUACAAAUAAAAGUUUCAGAAUGUCAUGUAUACGUAUGGUUUUGUUAAUGCAAAUGAGAGUCUGAAUGUUUCAUGAA